RNAcentral lists this ribosomal RNA (465 nucleotides) under Vreelandella stevensii. Its description in RNAcentral is "partial 16S ribosomal RNA". It matches the Rfam family "Bacterial small subunit ribosomal RNA", at positions 338 to 795 of the family's 1533-position model. Lineage: Bacteria; Pseudomonadati; Pseudomonadota; Gammaproteobacteria; Oceanospirillales; Halomonadaceae. The record is from RNAcentral.
CCUACGGGUGGCUGCAGUGGGGAAUAUUGGACAAUGGGGGCAACCCUGAUCCGGCCAUGCCGCGUGUGUGAAGAAGGCCCUCGGGUUGUAAAGCACUUUCAGUGAGGAAGAACGCCUGGUGGUUAAUACCCAUCAGGAAAGACAUCACUCACAGAAGAAGCACCGGCUAACUCCGUGCCAGCAGCCGCGGUAAUACGGAGGGUGCGAGCGUUAAUCGGAAUUACUGGGCGUAAAGCGCGCGUAGGUGGCUUGAUAAGCCGGUUGUGAAAGCCCCGGGCUCAACCUGGGAACGGCAUCCGGAACUGGCAAGCUAGAGUGCAGGAGAGGAAGGUAGAAUUCCCGGUGUAGCGGUGAAAUGCGUAGAGAUCGGGAGGAAUACCAGUGGCGAAGGCGGCCUUCUGGACUGACACUGACACUGAGGUGCGAAAGCGUGGGUAGCAAACAGGAUUAGAUACCCCAGUAGUC